UGAUACCUGCCCAGUGAGUUAUUUUUUUUUUGUGUGAAUACUAAAAUUUAUCUUAAACGGACGCGGUAACUCUGACUGUGAUAAUGUAGCAUAAUCAAUUACCACUUAAUUGGUGGAGGGUAUGAAUGGUUUAACGAAUUUUUCAUUGUCUUAAAUAGGAUUUUUUUUAAAUUAAAAUUAUAGUUAAGAUGCUAUAUAAAAUUGUAAGACGAAAAGACCCUGUAGAGCUUUACUAUUUUUAUUAAUUUUGAUUUGGUUAAUGUAAUCAUCAUUUUUAGUAUUGGGUAGUUUAAUUGGGGUGAUUGGUUUUUAUUAUUAAUAAAACUAUGCAAUAAUAAUAAUAAUAUUUAUUGUAUAAUUGAUUUAUUUAACAAUUACUAUAGUAGGCUAUAAUGAUCCGUUUUAAUUUAGUAAAUAUUUUAACGAUAAAUAAAUAAAAGCUACCUCAGGGAUAACAGGAUAAUUUUGUUUUAGAGUUCUAAUCGAUUUCAAAGUUUAUCACCUCUAUGUUGAAUUAAGAUAUCCAGGUGGAGUAUAAGCUACCAAGGGUGGGUCUGUUC
This 560-nucleotide ribosomal RNA is filed under the name Candelabrum sp. b AP-2022. Its description in RNAcentral is "partial large subunit ribosomal RNA". It matches the Rfam family "Bacterial large subunit ribosomal RNA", at positions 1853 to 2582 of the family's 2925-position model. Lineage: Eukaryota; Metazoa; Cnidaria; Hydrozoa; Anthoathecata; Candelabridae. The record is from RNAcentral.